Molecule: long non-coding RNA, 446 nt
Organism: Macadamia integrifolia
Lineage: Eukaryota; Viridiplantae; Streptophyta; Magnoliopsida; Proteales; Proteaceae
Exons: 2
Source: RefSeq, a predicted model, not a curated record
GGGAGAAGAAAUUCUUAUUGUUGAGAGAGAGAGACAGAGAGAGAUCAGAAACAAAGAUGGCUACAAAAGAAAAAGAAGCUUUGCAUCAAGAGAAGCCAGCAAAAGACAGCCCAGCAGAUCCAGCUCAGCUUGUUGGUCAAGUUAGCCAUGAUAAGCUCUGUGAUACCAUGCAUGAGAAGUAUCAGAAUGUUGAUGAGAUAGAGGAUGAACUCUUUUCUAUUUCUGCAACAGAGCAUGAGAGUAUCCCUGAACACCCAAAAUGAAGAUUUUUCAAAGAUCCUCCUCCAACAGCUACUGGUGUCUUUUAGCUUGUAAAGGAAUCCUAAAAAGCAUAGUAAAGUCUUCCUUUUUCUCAUUUUUUGUCUUCCCCCUUUUCUUCUUAUCUAACUAGCCAGUUUUGUGAUUUUAUUUUUCUUAAAUAAUAUAGAUUAAUUCUUGAAUCAAAA